GACGAACGCUGGCGGCGUGCUUAACACAUGCAAGUCGAACGAAGAGCGAUGGAAGCUUGCUUCUAUCACUCUUAGUGGCGAACGGGUGAGUAACGCGUAAUCAACCUGCCCUUCAGAGGGGGACAACAGUUGGAAACGACUGCUAAUACCGCAUACGAUCUAAUCUCGGCAUCGAGGAAAGAUGAAAGGUGGCCUCUAUUUAUAAGCCAUCACUGAAGGAGGGGAUUGCGUCUGAUUAGCUAGUUGGAGGGGUAACGGCCCACCAAGGCGAUGAUCAGUAGCCGGUCUGAGAGGAUGAACGGCCACAUUGGGACUGAGACACGGCCCAGACUCCUACGGGAGGCAGCAGUGGGGAAUCUUCCGCAAUAGACGAAAGUCUGACGGAGCAACGCCGCGUGAGUGAUGACGGCCUUCGGGUUGUAAAGCUCUGUUAAUCGGGACGAAAGGCCUUCUUGCGAACAGUUAGAAGGAUUGACGGUACCGGAAUAGAAAGCCACGGCUAACUACGUG
Molecule: ribosomal RNA, 510 nt
Filed under: uncultured bacterium
Lineage: Bacteria
Description: partial 16S ribosomal RNA
Rfam family: Bacterial small subunit ribosomal RNA
Source: RNAcentral